Oryza sativa Japonica Group (Japanese rice) is the source of this 1912-nucleotide non-coding RNA. NCBI's taxonomy places the organism in Eukaryota, Viridiplantae, Streptophyta, Magnoliopsida, Poales, Poaceae. The record is from RefSeq and is a predicted model, not a curated record.
CUAUGUUUAAUACUUCAAAUGCGUAUCCGUAUAUCCAAUGUGACAACCAAACCCAAAAAUUCUCCCCAACUAAACACAGCCUUAGGGUCUGUUUGGGGGAGCUUAAGAUUCUGAGAAGCAGCUGCUGAGAAGCUAGCUGGUAAAAAUUUGGAGAAGCUGGAAAACCCAGCUUCUAGCUUGUUCAUUUUCUAGAUUCUACAACUACAGAUUCUUAGAAUCUAGGUAAAAAGCUAAAUUGUUUGAGGGAGCUUCUGGUAACUGGAGAUUCUAUAAGAAGAUGUAGCUGCUAGAAGCUCCCUAAACAAGCCCUUAGUAUGACUUAAACAUGAUCGUUGGGUAGAUAGAGUAGGAGUGUCUGAUCAUGACAUGACCAUAUAUGCGUGUGUACAUAUAAUAUCAGUGCAUAUGUGUAUACCGCAAUUGCCAUAGUCGUAGUUAGCUCCAUGCUCCUUGGUGCUUGGGGCCAAGCCAAGCACGAUGGUACUCUUCUCUUCCCUUCCACCUGAGCUGCAAAUGCAUGUGGUGGCCCCACAUCUCCCAGGUCUACUAGAGAGGACCUGUUUGUGCAUUUGUGCUUGUUCACUUGUGCAAUGCAAUCAGAGAGAGAGAGAGGAGGUUAGCUUUGGCUAUGGUAAGGGUAGCCAUGCAUGCACGCUUCAAGGAUUCUUCAUCAGCUUUCUCUCCUUCCAAGGCCUGCAUCUGCAAGAUGUCCUCCAAAAGGCAUCAAAGGGUGUGGGGGAAAGAAAUUCCUCCUCUCCUCAUCUCGUGCUGUGUGUGAUGCGUCGCUGCGCUGCGACUGCGAUGGAUGGCUCCACGCUCUGUCCGCAUCUCUCUCUCUCUCUCUCUUUCUGCUCACCAUCAUCGAUCGAGUGCGGCAUGCUGAAUUGCAGAGAGAUAGGAGUACAUCGUCGUAGGAUGGAGCAGUAGACGAGCUACGAGCUACUAGCUACAUACUGCAUGAUGAUAUGUUGUGUUGCUGUUCAAGUAUGUUCAGUUCUGUCUACGAGCAAGCGAAGUGAUCAGCAACCCCAUUCUACUAUAUAUAUCCAACACGCCGGUGGGUGGAAUCUGGAAUUAUACGGUGUCCAGAAGACCAGAACUGGUGCAUAUAUACUCCCUCCGUUCUAUAAAAAAAUAAUCUAGUACUUAAUAUGAUAUAUACUAGUAAUACAAAUCUAGACAGUUAGAAUGUAUCACAUGGUCAUUGACACAUGUAGUACACUAUUGCAACUCUGAACUCUACCAGCAGGAGAAGGAGAUGACGUCGGUGGAGUUGACCUCCUCGUCGGCGGUGAGGAACCCGUGCGCCUUUCUCGAUGGUCCUGGUCGGUGGCAGUGGUGCUCAGGCCAUCCCCUCGCCGGGCUUGAGCACCACCGCCGUUGCCGCCUUCUCGCCGGGAUGGAGCUCCGUCGCUUGCCCAAACGUUUCUGUUGAUUCCAAAUAGAGUCAAAAAAUAAAAUACAUUUAGCUUUUGAUUGUAUGUAGUAGUUAAUUAACCAAAUCCCAUGACAUGUAUGGGACAUGGUCCAUUCCUAUCAUCCCCUUCAUGUCUUACCCAAAAUUUCAAAUCGGAGAAUCUUGGGUUCUUAGGGCAUCCACACACGGAUGCGGUACUGUGGGGGAUCUCAGUUGCAUCCACACUAGUCUGCCUCUUGAGGUUAUCUAUUUACAACUCCAACUCAUCUGAAGACCCUCUAGGGCAAAUGUAUGAACUCGGGAAGGAGACAUGUAUGACUAUGUUGGAAGGCUUGCACUUCCUCCCCAAGUUCGGAUGGAGAUUCUCAAAUAGAGUUCAAUUCUUUUAUCUUGUGUUAUGUCUUUUAGUUUAUAUUUUCUUUACAUCAUGUCAGUGUGUGCUGAGUUUGUUUAUGUGUGGACUUUAUAAUAAUUGGUUGUAACUCGUUGAGCAAA